CCUCUUUCACGUGUCCGUUUGAUGCACGGUUGUCAAGUUGUUUUUUAUUUGUAUUUUUCAGAUAGGCUUGAAUGUAGAAAUUAGAAAACAACAAGAUAAAUGUUACAGAUCCUAUCACAAAGAUCCAUGCCAUGGGACGUGGAAACCCACAGUCGAUAAACAGUAACUGCGAACUAUGUAGUAAAAUUAGUACAAACUGGAUCUAAAAAACAAAUAUACAUACAUAUUACGAGUAUACUUUAUAGAGCCGC
Molecule: long non-coding RNA, 251 nt
Filed under: Mytilus galloprovincialis (Mediterranean mussel)
Lineage: Eukaryota; Metazoa; Mollusca; Bivalvia; Mytilida; Mytilidae
Source: RNAcentral